UACAUGUGGGGCAAGCGUUGUUCGGAAUUACUGGGCGUAAAGGGCUCGUAGGCGGCCAACUAAGUCGGACGUGAAAUCCCUCAGCUUAACUGGGGAACUGCGUCCGAUACUGGAUGGCUUGGAUUCGGGAGAGGAAUGCGGAAUUCCAGGUGUAGCGGUGAAAUGCGUAGAUAUCUGGAGGAACACCGGUGGCGAAGGCGGCAUUCUGGACCGACAUUGACGCUGAGGAGCGAAAGCCAGGGGAGCAAACGGG
RNAcentral lists this ribosomal RNA (253 nucleotides) under uncultured bacterium. RNAcentral describes it as "partial 16S ribosomal RNA". It matches the Rfam family "Bacterial small subunit ribosomal RNA", at positions 524 to 776 of the family's 1533-position model. The record is from RNAcentral.